AAAUUGCUGCCCGCGUUAACGAUCGAGGCGGUAUUGUUUUGUGGAGGAACGGAACAAAACAUAAAGCUGAGAGCGUGGCCCGCA
This 84-nucleotide unclassified non-coding RNA is filed under the name Flavobacterium noncentrifugens. RNAcentral's name for it is "Flavo-1 RNA". Lineage: Bacteria; Pseudomonadati; Bacteroidota; Flavobacteriia; Flavobacteriales; Flavobacteriaceae. The record is from RNAcentral.